Non-coding RNA from Massospora cicadina, 71 nucleotides. NCBI's taxonomy places the organism in Eukaryota, Fungi, Entomophthoromycota, Entomophthoromycetes, Entomophthorales, Entomophthoraceae. The record is from the annotation of a GenBank genome assembly.
UCUUAAGUAGUAUAGUGGUAGUAUCCCCGCCUGUCACGCGGGAGACCCUGAUUUAAUUCCCCGCUCAAGAG